CCUACGGGUGGCUGCAGUGGGGAAUAUUGGGCAAUGGGCGCAAGCCUGACCCAGCAACGCCGCGUGAAGGAAGAAGGCUUUCGGGUUGUAAACUUCUUUUAUCGGGGACGAAACAAAUGACGGUACUCAAUGAAUAAGCCACGGCUAACUACGGACCAGCAGCCGCGGUAAUACGUAGGUGGCAAGCGUUAUCCGGAUUUCCUGGGUGUAAAGGGCUUGUAGGCGGGACUGCAAGUCAGAUGUGAAAUACAUGGGCUCAACGCAUGGCCUGCAUUUGAAACUGUGGAGCUGGAGUGCAGGAGAGGCAGGCGGAAUUCCGAGUGUAGCGGUGAAAUGCGUAGAUAUACGGAGGAACACCAGUGGCGAAGGCGGCCUGCUGGACAUUAACUGACGUUGAGGCGCGAAAGCGUGGGGAGCAAACAGGAUUAGAUACCCGGGUAGUC
This 443-nucleotide ribosomal RNA is filed under the name uncultured bacterium. RNAcentral describes it as "partial 16S ribosomal RNA". It matches the Rfam family "Bacterial small subunit ribosomal RNA", at positions 338 to 795 of the family's 1533-position model. The record is from RNAcentral.